Molecule: ribosomal RNA, 749 nt
Filed under: uncultured bacterium
Lineage: Bacteria
Description: bacterial SSU rRNA
Rfam family: Bacterial small subunit ribosomal RNA
Source: RNAcentral
GCCGCAAGGUGAGUAAAGUGGCGUACGGGUGAGUAACACGUGGAUCAUCUACCUUUUAGUGGGGAAUACCGCUGGGAAACCGGCGACAAUACCGCAUAAGCUCGAGAGAGGAAAGCCGAAAGGCGCUGAAAGAGGAGUCCGCGGCCGAUUAGCUAGUUGGUGAGGUAAUGGCCCACCAAGGCUGUGAUCGGUAGCCGGCCUGAGAGGGCACACGGCCACACUGGCACUGAAACACGGGCCAGACUCCUACGGGAGGCAGCAGUGGGGAAUCUUGCACAAUGGGGGCAACCCUGAUGCAGCGACGCCGCGUGAGCGAUGAAGCCCUUCGGGGUGUAAAGCUCUUUCGGCAGGGAAGAUUAUGACGGUACCUGCAGAAGCAGCUGCGGCUAACUACGUGCCAGCAGCCGCGGUAAUACGUAGGCAGCAAGCGUUGUUCGGAGUUACUGGGCGUAAAGGGUGCGUAGGCGGCUCUAUAAGUAUGGUGUGAAAUCUCCCGGCUUAACUGGGAGGGUGCGCCGUAGACUGUGGGGCUAGAGUGUGGGAGAGGAAAGUGGAAUUCCUGGUGUAGCGGUGAAAUGCGUAGAUAUCAGGAGGAACACCGGUGGUGUAAACGGCUUUCUGGACCAUAACUGACGCUGAGGCACGAAAGCGUGGGUAGCAAACAGGAUUAGAUACCCUGGUAGUCCACGCCCUAAACGAUGCAUAUUUUGGUGUGGGCCAUUCAUUUGGUCUGUGCCGGAGCUAACGCG